AGUCGAGGGGCAUCGGGAGGGAAGCUUGCUUUCCUUGCCGGCGACCGGCGCACGGGUGAGUAACACGUAUGCAACCUGCCCUCUUCAGGGGGACAACCUUCCGAAAGGGAGGCUAAUCCCGCGUAUAUCGGUUUCGGGCAUCCGUUAUCGAGGAAAGAUUCAUCGGAAGAGGAUGGGCAUGCGGCGCAUUAGCUAGACGGCGGGGUAACGGCCCACCGUGGCGACGAUGCGUAGGGGUUCUGAGAGGAAGGUCCCCCACACUGGUACUGAGACACGGACCACACUUAUACGGGAGGCAGCAGUGAGGAAUAUUGGUCAAUGGGAGAGAUCCUGAACCAGCCAAGCCGCGUGAGGGAAGACGGCCCUAUGGGUUGUAAACCUCUUUUGUCGGAGAACAAAACCCGGGACGUGUCCCGGACUGCGUGUAUCCGAAGAAAAAGCAUCGGCUAACUCCGUGCCAGCAGCCGCGGUAAUACGGAGGAUGCGAGCGUUAUCCGGAUUUAUUGGGUUUAAAGGGUGCGUAGGCGGUCCGUUAAGUCAGCGGUAAAAUUGCGGGGCUCAACCCCGUCGAGCCGUUGAAACUGGCAGACUUGAGUUGGCGAGAAGUACGCGGAAUGCGCGGUGUAUCGGUGAAAUGCAUAGAUAUCGCGCAGAACUCCGAUUGCGAAGGCAGCGUACCGGCGCCAGACUGACGCUGAGGCACGAAAGCGUGGGGAUCGAACAGGAUUAGAUACCCUGGUAGUCCACGCAGUAAACGAUGAAUGCUGGUUGUCCGGGUCGAAUGAGACCUGGGCGGCGAAGCGAAAGCGAUAAGCAUUCCACCUGGGGAGUACGCCGGCAACGGUGAAACUCAAAGGAACUGACGGGGGCCCGCACAA
This 878-nucleotide ribosomal RNA is filed under the name uncultured bacterium. RNAcentral describes it as "bacterial SSU rRNA". It matches the Rfam family "Bacterial small subunit ribosomal RNA", at positions 60 to 928 of the family's 1533-position model. The record is from RNAcentral.